CGAGGUGUAGCGCAGUUUGGUAGCGCACAUGGUUUGGGACCAUGGGGCCGGAGGUUCGAAUCCUCUCACCUCGA
Molecule: transfer RNA, 74 nt
Organism: Eubacterium limosum KIST612
Lineage: Bacteria; Bacillati; Bacillota; Clostridia; Eubacteriales; Eubacteriaceae
Rfam family: tRNA
About the family: Transfer RNA (tRNA) molecules are approximately 80 nucleotides in length. Their secondary structure includes four short double-helical elements and three loops (D, anti-codon, and T loops).
Source: Rfam